AUAAUGACUCUCGGCAACGGAUAUCUAGGCUCUUGCAUCGAUGAAGAACGUAGCGAAAUGCGAUACUUGGUGAGAAUUGCAGAAUCCCGUGAACCAUCGAGUCUUUGAACGCAAGUUGCGCCCGAAGCCAUCAGGUUGAGGGCACGUCUGCCUGGGCGUCACAU
This 164-nucleotide ribosomal RNA is filed under the name Astragalus echinatus. Its description in RNAcentral is "5.8S ribosomal RNA". It matches the Rfam family "5.8S ribosomal RNA". From Rfam's summary of the family: 5.8S ribosomal RNA (5.8S rRNA) is a component of the large subunit of the eukaryotic ribosome. It is transcribed by RNA polymerase I as part of the 45S precursor that also contains 18S and 28S rRNA. Functionally, it is thought that 5.8S rRNA may be involved in ribosome translocation. Lineage: Eukaryota; Viridiplantae; Streptophyta; Magnoliopsida; Fabales; Fabaceae. The record is from RNAcentral.